CAAAGAGCUGUGUGAACUGUGAAAACUGUCUACCCCGUGUGGGAGGCGGAGAUGGUUUCCUAUUUUAAUCCUCUCUAAGACUCCAAAGGAGGACCUCAGGAACCCAGGAUCUGAUCACUCCAGCUCCUGGUUUAUGCCGCUCGCUCACAACUGGUCCAGUGUGUUAAUUUUAUGUGCGUGUGUGUAUAAUAAAUCAUGUGAGCCCGCC
Molecule: long non-coding RNA, 208 nt
Organism: Homo sapiens (human)
Lineage: Eukaryota; Metazoa; Chordata; Mammalia; Primates; Hominidae
Source: Ensembl